GGAGUACAUAGUUCAAAAGGAGAAGAAUACGUCCUCAGCAGGGACGAGCUGCAGGUUCAAAUCCUGCGGUACUUCC
Molecule: transfer RNA, 76 nt
Filed under: Chryseobacterium cucumeris
Lineage: Bacteria; Pseudomonadati; Bacteroidota; Flavobacteriia; Flavobacteriales; Weeksellaceae
Also listed under: 3 other names
Description: tRNA-Ala
Rfam family: tRNA
About the family: Transfer RNA (tRNA) molecules are approximately 80 nucleotides in length. Their secondary structure includes four short double-helical elements and three loops (D, anti-codon, and T loops).
Source: RNAcentral